UACGGGGGGGGCAAGCGUUGUUCGGAAUUACUGGGCGUAAAGGGCUCGUAGGCGGCCAACUAAGUCAGACGUGAAAUCCCUCGGCUCAACCGGGGAACUGCGUCUGAUACUGGAUGGCUUGAGUUUGGAAGAGGGAAGCGGAAUUUCAGGUGUAGCGGUGAAAUGCGUAGAUAUCUGAAGGAACACCAGUGGCGAAAGCGGCUUCCUGGUCCAGCACCGACGUUCAGGCACGAAAGCGUGGGGAGCAAACAGG
Molecule: ribosomal RNA, 253 nt
Filed under: uncultured prokaryote
Description: partial 16S ribosomal RNA
Rfam family: Bacterial small subunit ribosomal RNA
Source: RNAcentral